AACUAACGCUGGCGGCGUGCCUAACACAUGCAAGUCGUACGAGAAAGUUGGCUUCGGCCGAUGAGUACAGUGGCGCACGGGUGAGUAACGCGUGGAUAAUCUGCCCUUAAGUGUGGAAUAACGUACCGAAAGGUGCGCUAAUACCGCAUAAUGCCUGGCAACAUAAGUUGUCCGGCCAAAGAAGGCCUCUGCUUGCAAGCUUUCGCUAAAGGAUGAGUCCGCGUACCAUUAGCUAGUUGGUGGGGUAACGGCCUACCAAGGCGACGAUGGUUAGCUGGUCUGAGAGGAUGAUCAGCCACACUGGAACUGAGACACGGUCCAGACUUCUACGGGAGCAGCAGUGAGGAAUAUUGCGCAAUGGGGGCAACCCUGACGCAGCAACGCCGCGUGAGUGAGGAAGGUUUUCGGACUGUAAAGCUCUGUCGAGCGGGAAGAAGUGUACCAUGGCUAAUAUCCAUGAUAUUUGACGGUACCGCUAGAGG
This 482-nucleotide ribosomal RNA is filed under the name uncultured bacterium. RNAcentral's name for it is "bacterial SSU rRNA". It matches the Rfam family "Bacterial small subunit ribosomal RNA", at positions 29 to 487 of the family's 1533-position model. The record is from RNAcentral.